Molecule: ribosomal RNA, 253 nt
Filed under: uncultured bacterium
Lineage: Bacteria
Description: partial 16S ribosomal RNA
Rfam family: Bacterial small subunit ribosomal RNA
Source: RNAcentral
UACGAAGGUCCCGAGCGUUGUUCGGAAUCACUGGGCGUAAAGGGCGCGUAGGCGGCGCAACAAGUCACUUGUGAAAUCUCCGGGCUUAACCCGGAGCGGCCAAGUGAUACUGUCGUGCUAGAGUGCGGAAGGGGCUACUGGAAUUCUCGGUGUAGCGGUGAAAUGCGUAGAUAUCGAGAGGAACACCUGCGGCGAAGGCGGGUAGCUGGGCCGACACUGACGCUGAGGCGCGAAAGCCAGGGGAGCGAACGGG